AUGGCGUACAGAAGAAUUAGGUUUACGGCGAUCGUUGUUCAUGUGUGCUGCACGGAGAAAUCAACAUCUUCCAUUAGCGGGAAGUUCGUACGCGGCCUGCUGGCUCUAUAUUUGAAUCGAGCGCCUCGACGGAUUGUUGCCACACGCACCACUCCCUCCACUCCCACUCCCACUCCCCCACGUACGCUGCGAGGGAGGGCCGAACGCGCCAUGCAGCAACCACCCCGUCUCCUCCUCGUCCUCCUCUUCUGCCUCGCCGCCUCGUCCGCGCUUGCGUCCGGCGGGGAUGAAGGCGCGGCGACCUACAUUGUGUACCUGAACCCCGCGCUCAAGCCGUCGCCGUACGCCACGCACCUCCACUGGCACCACGCGCACCUCGACGCGCUCUCCGUGGACCCUGAAAGCCACCUCCUCUACUCCUACACCACGGCCGCGCCGUCUGCCUUCGCCGCGCGCCUCCUCCCGUCACACGUGACCGAGCUCCGCGGCCAUCCCGCCGUCGCGUCGGUCCACGAGGAUGUCCUGCACCCGCUCCACACCACGCGCUCACCUUCGUUCCUCCACCUCCCGCCGUACAGCGCUCCGGCUCCUAGCGCGGACGGCGGGAGCUCCGACGUCAUCGUCGGGGUGCUCGACACUGGUGUUUGGCCCGAGAGCCCCAGCUUCGCCGAUGCCGGCCUGGGCCCCGUGCCAUCGCGGUGGCGCGGGAGCUGCGAGACCAAUGCCACCGACUUCCCCUCCUCGAUGUGCAACCGGAAGCUCAUCGGCGCGCGCGGCUUCUUCCGGGGCUUCGGGGCGGGCGGCAGGAACGGCUCCUCCCAUGGGACCACCGAGCUCUCGUCGCCGAGGGACCACGACGGGCACGGCACCCACACGGCGUCCACGGCGGCGGGGGCCGUGGUGGCCGACGCGAGCCUCCUCGGUUACGCCCACGGCACGGCUCGGGGCAUGGCGCCCGGGGCGCGCGUCGCGGCGUACAAGGUGUGCUGGAGGCAGGGAUGCUUCAGCUCGGACAUACUCGCGGGCAUGGAGCAGGCCAUCGAGGACGGGGUCGACGUGCUCUCGCUGUCGCUGGGAGGCGGCUCGUAUCCGCUCUCCCGCGACCCCAUCGCCGUCGGCGCGCUGGCGGCCACCCGCCGCGGCAUCGUCGUCGCGUGCUCCGCGGGGAACAGCGGGCCGGCGCCGUCGUCGCUGGUGAACACUGCCCCGUGGAUCAUCACCGUCGGAGCCGGCACGCUCGACCGGAACUUCCCGGCGUACGCGAAGCUCGGCAAUGGCGAGACCCAUGCCGGCAUGUCGCUCUACUCGGGCGAUGGGCUGGGUGACGACAAGUUCCCCCUGGUGUACAACAAAGGCAUCCGCCCGGGCAGCAACGCGAGCAAGCUCUGCAUGUCGGGCACGCUGGACGCGUCGGCGGUGAAGGGCAAGGUGGUCCUGUGCGACCGGGGCGGGAACUCGCGGGUGGAGAAGGGGCAGGUGGUGAAGCUGGCGGGCGGCGUCGGGAUGGUGCUCGCGAACACCGCACAGAGCGGCGAGGAGGUCGUGGCGGACAGCCACCUGCUCCCCGCCGUGGCCGUCGGCGCCAAGAGCGGCGACGCCAUAAGGGCGUACGUGGAGUCGGACGCCGGCGCGGAGGUGGCGUUGAGCUUCGCCGGCACCGCUGUGGACGUGCACCCGGCGCCGGUGGUGGCCGCGUUUAGCUCCCGUGGGCCGAACAGGCAGGUGGCGCAGCUGCUGAAGCCGGACGUGAUCGGACCGGGGGUGAACAUCCUGGCCGGGUGGACGGGGUCCGUCGGGCCGACUGGGCUGACCAUCGACGAGCGGCGGCCGGCGUUCAACAUCUUGUCAGGGACAUCCAUGUCGUGCCCGCACAUCAGCGGGCUCGCGGCGUUCGUGAAGGCGGCGCACCCGGACUGGAGCCCCAGCGCCAUCAAGUCGGCGCUCAUGACCACCGCCUACACCGUCGACAACACCGGAUCGCCCCUCCUCGACGCGGCCGGCGCCAACGCCACGGCCACGGCCACGCCAUGGGCCUUCGGCUCCGGCCACGUCGACCCCGUCAAGGCCCUCUCCCCGGGCCUCGUCUACGACACGUCCAUCGACGACUACGUCGCCUUCCUCUGCACCGUCGGCGGCGCCUCGCCCCGGCAGGUCCAGGCCAUCACGGGGGCGCCAAACGCGACGUGCCAGCGGAAGCUGUCCAGCCCCGGCGACCUCAACUACCCGUCCUUCUCCGUCGUCUUCGGCCUCCGCAAGUCGCGCACCACCGUCAAGUACCACCGCGAGCUGACCAACGUCGGCGCCGCCGGGUCGGUGUACGCGGCCAAGGUCACCGGCCCGCCCAGCAUCGUGGUGUCCGUGAAGCCGGCCAGGCUCGUGUUCAAGAAGGCCGGGGACAAGCUCAGGUACACCGUCGCGUUCAAGUCGACGGCGGAGGGCGGCCCCAUGGACGCCGCGUUCGGGUGGCUGACGUGGAGCAGCGGGGAGCAGGACGUGCGGAGCCCGAUAUCGUAUACGUGGGGGAUGUAG
This 2529-nucleotide ribosomal RNA is filed under the name Triticum aestivum (bread wheat). RNAcentral describes it as "partial small subunit ribosomal RNA". Lineage: Eukaryota; Viridiplantae; Streptophyta; Magnoliopsida; Poales; Poaceae. The record is from RNAcentral.